RNAcentral lists this ribosomal RNA (253 nucleotides) under uncultured bacterium. RNAcentral describes it as "partial 16S ribosomal RNA". It matches the Rfam family "Bacterial small subunit ribosomal RNA", at positions 524 to 776 of the family's 1533-position model. The record is from RNAcentral.
UACGUAGGGGGCAAGCGUUGUUCGGAGUUACUGGGCGUAAAGGGUGCGUAGGCGGCCCUGUAAGUAUGGUGUGAAAUCUCCCGGCUUAACUGGGAGGGUGCGCUAUAGACUGCGGGGCUCGAGUGUGGGAGAGGAAAGUGGAAUUCCUGGUGUAGCGGUGAAAUGCGUAGAUAUCAGGAGGAACACCGGUGGUGUAAACGGCUUUCUGGACCAUAACUGACGCUGAGGCACGAAAGCGUGGGUAGCAAACAGG